GUUUUUUAUUUAAUAUUUUUAUGCUCUUGAAUAUAUAUACAUACAGAAAAGACAAGAGGUGACCUGAAUCUUUUGAUGUAGUGAUCAGAACUCUAAGAAAAAGGCAAUGACUUUCGAAACCUCUCAGGCUGCCCUUUGAGAGGAAAGAAUAAUUACUAUGCCUUUUGUCAUAUGAUUAAACUUAUCAAAUCAGGAUCAGUUCUACAUUAACCAAUAAAUGCUGAUCUGAUGCCUUGUUUUGUAGUGUUAUGAAGAAUGAAACUUGUAUUUUGGACAAAUAAGGGCUUUUUUUGUUUGUUUGUUUAAGGCUGUCGAGUUAAUUUGUUCUCUUUCACCCAGGAAAUCAGGCUUAUUUUUCAAUUGAGAAAGCAAACCGCUGACCUUCAAGUUACUAACAUGGAAGGAACUUGAGAGGAGGGGUGGAGACUCAUCAAAAAAGACUGAAAUGGUCAGUUGCUGUUCCCCAAUAUUACAGGCUCCCAGCUUUGCGGGAUUCUAAGCAAAUAGGCAGAAUAUCAUUCAGGGCCAAACCUUCCUCCGUAAGCAUGCAUUUACUAUCAGUGCCCUGGCCUCGACUCUCCUGACUGCUGGUCUUCAAGCCCGCCGGCGGCUAAUUUCUUCCUAAUUUGCCUUCACCUUGGGAAAGAAGAAUGAAAACAAAGUUCCUCGCUCUCAAUCAAUCCCUAAUCUGUUACAUUUCGAAGGAAAAGAAAUGGCUGGUAAACUUCGUGUCCUCUGGGAAAAGCACCUCUGAGAAAAGUAGGUACUGCCCAUCGGGCCCACCUUACUUAAGGUUGACAGAUGUCCUCAGCGGUUCUCAGUCCCGCCGGCCCUGGGGUUCCCCUAAAAUCGCGCUAGUGUCCGCCCUGUCUGACCUGACCCCCUGCCGCGGCACACAUUUCAGCUUUUCAGCUUCACGGUGGAUCUUGCAGUAAUUGAGUCAGGAGGGUUAUUUUUUCUGGCCUCGCCUCGCGGGCUCAGACUGCAGGGAGCUUUCGAAAAGACAUCGCCUCCUCCCACUCCGAGCCCCGGCAGCUUCUGAGCGCUGCGCGGGCCUCCGCCCCGCGGGAACCAGGACGCGAUCCACGCGGCGGCGGCCGGAGACUGAGGCCGGAGGGUGAAACCACCAGGGGUCCCAACGGAGGGCUUAUUCCCGCCUCCCUUCACAUUUGGAGGUCAAAUCACAUUAACACUAAACCACCAACAGGGCGGAAGCAGGUGGUUAAUUGCCUAAACUAGAGUUGCCAGCAAGAGACCAACUUUACAGGCGGGUGACUUGGUUUCCCUAUGUAGCUCUGUCAUCAUUGAACGGCCUCUGCUUCCUCCUUAUUCAGAAGGCGGCGUAAGUUUAUCACCUGCUGCAGGAGAAGGCUGGUGCACACUGUCACGGUAGGGUGACAAGCAAGCUGGCGCAGUAGGCGCGCGGGAUCCCAUCCGCGCAGCUAUUGGAAGCAGGUUUCCUUCACCCCUUCCUGGAAGGCGUGGCCCCUUUGCAAGUUGUACAUCUGUUCUCUUCACGUGACAUUUCAUAAAAGCCUUAACAUCUGGGCAAGAUAAACUUCCUUCAGGCCUAUCUUGGGAAAUUUGAGGUUAGGCCUCCGCCUGACAGUUGCCGCAGCUCCCUUUGCUGACACUGGAGCCGCCGCCUCCGCGCAGCGACCAGACGCGGGGCCCGAGCCGUCCGGGACGUCCGAGGAGGACACGGACAUUGUCACUCUCCCCACGGUGUUGCCUGGCCCGCCACCCACGCAGGGGAGUCUGGUCCGUGCGUCCUCCCGCGCCCGCCGCAGAAAUGAACUUGUUUUUAAGAAUGCUCACAAAGAGUGGAGGGCAUGACAAAAAAGUACAGUAACAAGAGAAAAUAGUGCUGGCUUCAUACUGGUGAUUUGCAUUUAACUGUUUUACAGCUGCCUUCUCAAAAUAUAAGCAGGAGAGGUGAGUAACAAAUUUAAGUUUUUGCUGUUUGGGACCUGAUAAGAGAUGGGAGAGAUGCUGUUAAGCCCAAUGAGCACCAAACUGGAAUAAUAAAGCUGUCUUUCUAAAUAGCAUGCUUGUGCCUGUCAG
Molecule: long non-coding RNA, 2064 nt
Organism: Manis pentadactyla (Chinese pangolin)
Lineage: Eukaryota; Metazoa; Chordata; Mammalia; Pholidota; Manidae
Exons: 4
Source: RefSeq, a predicted model, not a curated record